Small nucleolar RNA from Heterocephalus glaber (naked mole-rat), 77 nucleotides. Ensembl annotates it as small nucleolar RNA, C/D box 100. The record is from Ensembl. NCBI's taxonomy places the organism in Eukaryota, Metazoa, Chordata, Mammalia, Rodentia, Bathyergidae.
GCUGUACGUGAUGACAACUGGCUCCCUCUGCUGAACUGUGGUUGAGGAAAAUGCCAUGUCACCCUUCUGACUACAGC